ACAGGUGCUGCAUGGCUGUCGUCAGCUCGUGUUGUGAAAUGUUGGGUUAAGUCCCGCAACGAGCGCAACCCUUAUCCUUUGUUGCCAGCGGUCCGGCCGGGAACUCAAAGGAGACUGCCAGUGAUAAACUGGAGGAAGGUGGGGAUGACGUCAAGUCAUCAUGGCCCUUACGACCAGGGCUACACACGUGCUACAAUGGCGCAUACAAAGAGAAGCGACCUCGCGAGAGCAAGCGGACCUCAUAAAGUGCGUCGUAGUCCGGAUUGGAGUCUGCAACUCGACUCCAUGAAGUCGGAAUCGCUAGUAAUCGUGGAUCAGAAUGCCACGGUGAAUACGUUCCCGGGCCUUGUACACACCGCCCGUCACACCAUGGGAGUG
RNAcentral lists this ribosomal RNA (378 nucleotides) under Escherichia coli. RNAcentral's name for it is "bacterial SSU rRNA". It matches the Rfam family "Bacterial small subunit ribosomal RNA", at positions 1034 to 1412 of the family's 1533-position model. Lineage: Bacteria; Pseudomonadati; Pseudomonadota; Gammaproteobacteria; Enterobacterales; Enterobacteriaceae. The record is from RNAcentral.